RNAcentral lists this ribosomal RNA (460 nucleotides) under uncultured bacterium. RNAcentral describes it as "partial 16S ribosomal RNA". It matches the Rfam family "Bacterial small subunit ribosomal RNA", at positions 338 to 795 of the family's 1533-position model. The record is from RNAcentral.
CCUACGGGAGGCAGCAGUGAGGAAUAUUGGUCAAUGGACGAGAGUCUGAACCAGCCAAGUAGCGUGAAGGAUGACUGCCCUAUGGGUUGUAAACUUCUUUUAUAUGGGAAUAAAAUGCUCCACGUGUGGGAUUUUGUAUGUACCAUAUGAAUAAGGAUCGGCUAACUCCGUGCCAGCAGCCGCGGUAAUACGGAGGAUCCGAGCGUUAUCCGGAUUUUUUGGGUUUAAAGGGAGCGUAGGUGGAUUGUUAAGUCAGUUGUGAAAGUUUGCGGCUCAACCGUAAAAUUGCAGUUGAAACUGGCAGUCUUGAGUACGGUAGAGGUGGGCGGAAUUCGUGGUGUAGCGGUGAAAUGCUUAGAUAUCACGAAGAACUCCGAUUGCGAAGGCAGCUCACUGGACUGCGACUGACACUGAGGCACGAAAGUGUGGGUAUCAAACAGGAUUAGAUACCCCGGUAGUC